AUCCUAAAAAUGCUGGGUGCAUUUAAAAAAAAUCCCUGAGAAAUGCUGAAGUUAUAUAUUUAUAAGAAUAAGAUCUUUUAUUCACUGAAGAUAUUACAGGAAAAUAUUUCACAAAACAAGUUUUUGGGAAACAGAUUGGUGAAUUCAGCUAGUUAAGACAAAUAGAUUCUUCAGCAGUUUGGCCUUCACUGAGUUAGCUGUGCCACACAUUGACCAUUCCUUGGAAGUUUUCUUGGAUGCAUCUUUAUCAGCUGCAGCAGCCAUAGGGGAGUCCCUGGAGGCAUGGGCAGAAAAUUUGAAUGGCCCUUCGUGAUGAAAGGAAGGCAGUCACCUGAAAAGGUAUGAGGAAGAGUUUGUUUCUCUGAUCAAACCUUCAGAGUUUCCACAGCAGAGCAGAAAUAUAACUUCUGAUUGCAGCCAUCCUUAGGACCCUGCAUCAACCCGGGAGCAAAUUACUGAGUUAUUUCUUUUUCCGUGCCUGAUUUUAUUAAACAUUUAUUUACUUAGAGAAAAAUCAUCAUAUUCCUUAUAAGAGUGAAAUAAUUAUCAAUAUUUUGAAUCUAUGUUUAGAAAUAAAUAUUUUAAUUUGUAUUUUAAAUCAACCCCUAUAGGGCAGGAAUUUAUGUAGCAUCUUCUGCAUCUGC
RNAcentral lists this long non-coding RNA (644 nucleotides) under Homo sapiens (human). RNAcentral describes it as "HSALNT0220282". Lineage: Eukaryota; Metazoa; Chordata; Mammalia; Primates; Hominidae. The record is from RNAcentral.